This is a non-coding RNA of Mycena rebaudengoi, 93 nucleotides long. The record is from the annotation of a GenBank genome assembly. Lineage: Eukaryota; Fungi; Basidiomycota; Agaricomycetes; Agaricales; Mycenaceae.
GGCAGGAAGGCGCACGGUGCGCGUUGGGUUCUGUUGGCGUUGCUUGGUUCGAUAAGCAGCCCGAAGGUCCCCGUUCGACUCGGGGUCCUGCCA